RNAcentral lists this long non-coding RNA (262 nucleotides) under Lathyrus oleraceus (garden pea). Its description in RNAcentral is "Pisum sativum (pea) long non-coding RNA (PSAT_LNC035531)". The record is from RNAcentral. Lineage: Eukaryota; Viridiplantae; Streptophyta; Magnoliopsida; Fabales; Fabaceae.
GUUGUAAUCCCUAUUUCUUUCCCUAGAGGGUUAAUCCUUGAUAUGUUCAUCCUAAUCGAUGACGGGUUUCCUCCCUUUUUUGGUCUUCGACCCAGUAACGGGUAGUUGUAAAUCUUGUUUCCCCUUUUUGCGGAGUCUAUCCUUGAUAUGUUUACCCUAACUAGUGACGGAUAUUCUCUCUUUUGGUAUUCUUUCCAGUAACUGAUAGAUAUAAUUCCUAUUGCUCCCCUCGGAGUUUAUCCUUGAUAUGUUCAUCUUAACC